RNAcentral lists this ribosomal RNA (375 nucleotides) under uncultured bacterium. RNAcentral's name for it is "bacterial SSU rRNA". It matches the Rfam family "Bacterial small subunit ribosomal RNA", at positions 137 to 507 of the family's 1533-position model. The record is from RNAcentral.
UGGGGGAUAACGUAGCGAAAGUUACGCUAAUACCGCAUAUUCUGUGAGCAGGAAAGAGGGGGAUCGCAAGACCUCUUGCUUUAGGAGCGGCCGAUGUCGGAUUAGCUAGUUGGUGAGGUAAAGGCUCACCAAGGCGACGAUCCGUAGCGAGUCUGAGAGGAUGAUCCGCCACACUGGGACUGAGACCCGGCCCAGACUCCUACGGGAGGCAGCAGUGGGGAAUUUUGGACAAUGGGCGCAAGCCUGAUCCAGCCAUGCCGCGUGAGUGAAGAAGGCCUUCGGGUUGUAAAGCUCUUUCGGUGGGGAAGAAAUUGCUUCGGUUAAUACCUGGAGUAGAUGACGGUACCCGCAUAAGAAGCACCGGCUAACUACGUG